This 1498-nucleotide ribosomal RNA is filed under the name Hepatobacter penaei (SeqCode). Its description in RNAcentral is "bacterial SSU rRNA". It matches the Rfam family "Bacterial small subunit ribosomal RNA". Lineage: Bacteria; Pseudomonadati; Pseudomonadota; Alphaproteobacteria; Holosporales; Holosporaceae. The record is from RNAcentral.
GUUUUUCAUGAGAGUUUGAUCCUGGCUCAGAAUGAACGCUGGCGGCAUGCCUAACACAUGCAAGUCGAACGCAAUAGGUUCGCCUAUUGAGUGGCAGACGGGUGAGUAAUACACGGGAAUCUACCUCUAGGUAAGGAAUAGCUACGGGAAACUGUAGGUAAUACCUUAUAAUAUGUGCAAACAUCAAAGAUUUAUCGCCUAGAGAGGAGCCCGUGCCAGAUUAGGUCGUUGGUGGGGUAACAGCCUACCAAGCCUAUGAUCUGUAGUUGGUCUGAGAGGAUGAUCAGCCACACUGGGACUGAGAACGGCCCAGACUCCUACGGGGGGCAGCAGUGGGGAAUAUUGGACAAUGGGCGCAAGCCUGAUCCAGCCAUGCCGCGUGGGUGAAGAAGGCCUUUGGGUUGUAAAGCUCUUUCACCUGUGACGAUAAUGACGGUAGCAGGACAAGAAGCCCCGGCUAACUCCGUGCCAGCAGCCGCGGUAAGACGGAGGGGGCAAGCGUUAUUCGGAAUUACUGGGCGUAAAGGGUGCGUAGGCGGUUUUUUAAGCAAGGUGUGAAAGCCCUGGGCUCAACCCAGGAACGGCGCUUUGAACUGAAGAACUAGAGUACGAAAGAGGAAAGAGGAAUUCCUAGUGUAGGGGUGAAAUCCAUAGAUAUUAGGAAGAACACCAAAGGCGAAGGCGACUUUCUGGUCUGUAACUGACGCUGAGGCGCGAAAGCGUGGGGAGCAAACAGGAUUAGAUACCCGAGUAGUCCACGCUGUAAACGAUGAAUGCUAGACGUUGGAGGUUCGUCCUUCAGUGUCGCAGCUAACGCGUGAAGCAUUCCGCCUGGGGAGUACGGUCGCAAGAUUAAAACUCAAAGGAAUUGACGGGGGCCUGCACAAGCGGUGGAGCAUGUGGUUUAAUUCGACGCAACGCGCAAAACCUUACCAGCUUUUGACAUAGGGACAGAAGGCAUCAGAGAUGAAGCCUGCGGUUCGGCCGGGUCCCGUACAGGUGCUGCAUGGCUGUCGUCAGCUCGUGUCGUGAGAUGUUGGGUUAAGUCCCGCAACGAGCGCAACCCUCGUUCUUAGUUGCCAGCAGUUCGGCUGGGGACUCUAAGAAAACUGCCGGUGACAAGCCGGAGGAAGGUGGGGAUGAUGUCAGGUCCUCAUGGCCCUUAUGGGCUGGGCUACACACGUGCUACAAUGGCGAUCACAAUGAGAAGCAAGGGGGUGACCCGGAGCCAAUCUCUAAAAAUCGUCUCAGUUCGGAUUGUUCUCUGCAACUCGAGAGCAUGAAGUUGGAAUCGCUAGUAAUCGCAGAUCAGCAUGCUGCGGUGAAUACGUUCACGGGCCUUGUACACACCGCCCGUCAAGCCAUGGAAGUUAUCUUUUCUUUAAGGCGAUGAGCUAACCAGCAAUGGAGGCAGUCGACCACAGAAAAGGUGAUGACUGGGGUUAAGUCGUAACAAGGUAGCCGUAGGGGAACCUGUGGCUGGAUUACCUCCUUUCUA